GGGGAAUUUUCCGCAAUGGGCGAAAGCCUGACGGAGCAAGACCGCGUGAGGGAGGAAGGCUCUUGGGUUGUAAACCUCUUUUCUCAGGGAAGAAAAAAAUGACGGUACCUGAGGAAUCAGCAUCGGCUAACUCCGUGCCAGCAGCCGCGGUAAUACGGAGGAUGCAAGCGUUAUCCGGAAUCAUUGGGCGUAAAGCGUUCGUAGGUGGCUGGGCAAGUCUGCUGUCAAAGACCGGAGCUUAACUCUGGAAAGGCGGUGGAAACUGCGCGGCUAGAGUGCGGUAGGGGUAGAGGGAAUUCCCGGUGUAGCGGUGAAAUGCGUAGAGAUCGGGAAGAACACCGGUGGCGAAAGCGCUCUACUGGGCCUGCACUGACACUGAGGACGAAAGGGUAU
RNAcentral lists this ribosomal RNA (393 nucleotides) under Lyngbya aerugineo-coerulea VB512251. Its description in RNAcentral is "bacterial SSU rRNA". It matches the Rfam family "Bacterial small subunit ribosomal RNA", at positions 356 to 764 of the family's 1533-position model. The record is from RNAcentral. Lineage: Bacteria; Bacillati; Cyanobacteriota; Cyanophyceae; Oscillatoriales; Microcoleaceae.